RNAcentral lists this ribosomal RNA (406 nucleotides) under uncultured bacterium. RNAcentral's name for it is "bacterial SSU rRNA". It matches the Rfam family "Bacterial small subunit ribosomal RNA", at positions 355 to 776 of the family's 1533-position model. The record is from RNAcentral.
UGGGGAAUCUUGCGCAAUGGGCGAAAGCCUGACGCAGCAACGCCGCGUGAGGGACGAAUGUUCUUUGAAUUGUAAACCUCUUUCAGCAGGGACGAUAAUGACGGUACCUGCAGAAGAAGCACCGGCCAACUACGUGCCAGCAGCCGCGGUGAUACGUAGGGUGCAAGCGUUGUCCGGAUUUAUUGGGCGUAAAGGGCUCGUAGGCGGUUCGACAAGUCGGGUGUGAAACCCCCAGGCUCAACCUGGGGACGCCACUCGAAACUGUCGUGACUAGAGUUUGGUAGGGGAUCACGGAAUUCCUGGUGUAGCGGUGGAAUGCGCAGAUAUCAGGAGGAACACCAGUAGCGAAGGCGGUGAUCUGGGCCAAUACUGACGCUGAGGAGCGAAAGCGUGGGGAGCAAACAGG